AAGCGGGGCUAAUAUCGGAUAUGAAACCUGCGGGCAUCCGCGGGUUUGGAAAGUUUUUCGGUUGAAGAUGAUCUCGCGGCCUAUCAGCUUGUUGGUGAGGUAAUGGCUCACCAAGGCGACGACGGGUAGCCGGCCUGAGAGGGCGACCGGCCACACUGGGACUGAGACACGGCCCAGACUCCUACGGGAGGCAGCAGUGGGGAAUAUUGGGCAAUGGAGGAAACUCUGACCCAGCGACGCCGCGUGCGGGAUGAAGGCCUUCGGGUUGUAAACCGCUUUCAGCAGGGAAGAAGCGAAAGUGACGGUACCUGCAGAAGAAGCACCGGCUAACUAUGUGCCAGCAGCCGCGGUAAUACAUAGGGUGCAAGCGUUGUCCGGAAUUAUUGGGCGUAAAGAGCUCGUAGGUGGUUCGUCACGUCGGAUGUGAAACUCUGGGGCUUAACCCCAGACCUGCAUUCGAUACGGGCGAGCUUGAGUAUGGUAGGGGAGUCUGGAAUUCCUGGUGUAGCGGUGGAAUGCGCAGAUAUCAUGAGGAACACCAAAUGGCGAAGGCAGGACUCUGGGCCAUUACUGACACUGAGGAGCGAAAGCGUGGGGAGCGAACA
RNAcentral lists this ribosomal RNA (605 nucleotides) under uncultured Actinomycetes bacterium. Its description in RNAcentral is "bacterial SSU rRNA". It matches the Rfam family "Bacterial small subunit ribosomal RNA", at positions 155 to 774 of the family's 1533-position model. Lineage: Bacteria; Bacillati; Actinomycetota; Actinomycetes. The record is from RNAcentral.